CAAAGGGGGCUUCGGCUCUCGCCUUUAGAUUGGCCCAAGUGGGAUUAGCUAGUUGGUGAGGUAAUGGCUCACCAAGGCAACGAUCCCUAGCUGGUUUGAGAGGAUGAUCAGCCACACUGGGACUGAGACACGGCCCAGACUCUACGGGAGGCAGCAGUGGGGAAUAUUGCACAAUGGGCGCAAGCCUGAUGCAGCCAUGCCGCGUGUGUGAAGAAGGCCUUCGGGUUGUAAAGCACUUUCAGUCAGGAGGAAAGGUUAGUAGUUAAUACCUGCUAGCUGUGACGUUACUGACAGAAGAAGCACCGGCUAACUCCGUGCCAGCAGCCGCGGUAAUACGGAGGGUGCGAGCGUUAAUCGGAAUUACUGGGCGUAAAGCGUACGCAGGCGGUUUGUUAAGCGAGAUGUGAAAGCCCCGGGCUCAACCUGGGAACUGCAUUUCGAACUGGCAAACUAGAGUGUGAUAGAGGGUGGUAGAAUUUCAGGUGUAGCGGUGAAAUGCGUAGAGAUCUGAAGGAAUACCGAUGGCGAAGGCAGCGCACCUGGGUCAACACUGACGCUCAUGUACGAAAGCGUGGGGAGCAAACAGGAUUAGAUAACCCUGGUAGUCCACGCCGUAAACGAUGUCUACUAGAAGCUCGGAGCCUCGGCUCUGUUUUUCAAAGCUAACGCAUUAAGUAGACCGCCUGGGGAGUACGGCCGCAAGGUUAAAACUCAAAUGAAUUGACGGGGGCCCGCACAAGCGGUGGAGCAUGUGGUUUAAUUCGAUGCAACGCGAAGAACCUUACCUACACUUGACAUACAGAGAACUUACCAGAGAUGGUUUGGUGCCUUCGGGAACUCUGAUACAGGUGCUGCAUGGCUGUCGUCAGCUCGUGUUGUGAGAUGUUGGGUUAAGUCCCGCAACGAGCGCAACCCCUAUCCUUAGUUGCUAGCAGGUAAUGCUGAGAACUCUAAGGAGACUGCCGGUGAUAAACCGGAGGAAGGUGGGGACGACGUCAAGUCAUCAUGGCCCUUACGUGUAGGGCUACACACGUGCUACAAUGGCGCAUACAGAGUGCUGCGAACUCGCGAGAGUAAGCGAAUCACUUAAAGUGCGUCGUAGUCCGGAUUGCAGUCUGCAACUCGACUCCGUGAAGUCGGAAUCGCUAGUAAUCGCGUAUCAGAAUGAUGCGGUGAAUACGUUCCCGGGCCUUGUACACACCGCCCGUCACACCAUGGGGAGUGGG
RNAcentral lists this ribosomal RNA (1226 nucleotides) under Pseudoalteromonas sp. 18III/A01/056. RNAcentral describes it as "bacterial SSU rRNA". It matches the Rfam family "Bacterial small subunit ribosomal RNA", at positions 202 to 1415 of the family's 1533-position model. Lineage: Bacteria; Pseudomonadati; Pseudomonadota; Gammaproteobacteria; Alteromonadales; Pseudoalteromonadaceae. The record is from RNAcentral.